GGUCCCGUAGUUCUCCCGAUAGCUAUCGGGAGGAUAGAAUAGAAGUUUCCUAAACUUUUGAUACAGGUUCGAUUCCUGUCGGGACUACCA
Molecule: transfer RNA, 90 nt
Filed under: Chitinophagaceae bacterium
Lineage: Bacteria; Pseudomonadati; Bacteroidota; Chitinophagia; Chitinophagales; Chitinophagaceae
Description: tRNA-Arg
Rfam family: tRNA
About the family: Transfer RNA (tRNA) molecules are approximately 80 nucleotides in length. Their secondary structure includes four short double-helical elements and three loops (D, anti-codon, and T loops).
Source: RNAcentral